This is a non-coding RNA of Meleagris gallopavo (turkey), 554 nucleotides long. The record is from RefSeq and is a predicted model, not a curated record. NCBI's taxonomy places the organism in Eukaryota, Metazoa, Chordata, Aves, Galliformes, Phasianidae.
UUUGGAUGGGGCUAUCUGUCCUAUUUGCACUGCGAAUAAGCCCAGUACAAUCUGGUAGCUUCACCAUCUGCCUUCUGCCCUGAUGUCCUCUGUUGACCUUGCAUAUUCCUGACCCAGAGUAUAGAACAAAAAGUGCAUCCAUGUCCCUUUAACUUCCCUCCAACCUGCAAUUUUUUCUCUCCUCCUCUGGGACUGUGCACGCUGUUGCUGCUCUGUCUGCCAGCAGCCAGUGAGGAGAAUUUCUCCUGUUGGUGAGCAAUCAGUGGGUCGGAGCUGGCACCCUCCCAGCAGACAGCUCCUGUGAGCCAGCAAGCAGAGCACAGGAGAAAAGGAAAAGGCAGACGGAAAUAGAAGGCAAGAGACAACAGCUUGAGGACCAGAUACUUCAGCUGCAGCAUUUCAAGUCAAAAGCUCUUCGGGAAAAAUGGCUCCUGCAGGGAAUUCCUGCUGGCUCUGCAGAAGAAGAAGAAGCCAGAAGGAAGCAGUCAGAAGAGGAUGAGCUGAAGGUGAAAAAGCUGGAAGAAAAUAUACACAGGUAGAGACUCUUUCCCUUU